RNAcentral lists this ribosomal RNA (916 nucleotides) under uncultured archaeon. RNAcentral's name for it is "bacterial SSU rRNA". It matches the Rfam family "Archaeal small subunit ribosomal RNA", at positions 1 to 922 of the family's 1478-position model. The record is from RNAcentral.
UUUCCGGUUGAUCCUGCCGCCGGCCACCGCUAUCAAGUUCCGACUAAGCCAUGCGAGUCAAGGUAUCGUAAGAUGCCGGCAAACUGCUCAGUAACACGUGGAUAAUCUAACCUUGAGUAAGGGAUAACCUCGGGAAACUGAGGAUAAUACCUUAUAAUUGCUUAAAACUGGAAUGUUUAAGCAAUAAAAGUUCCGACGCUCAAGGAUGAGUCUGCGACCUAUCAGGUAGUAGGUGGUGUAAUGGACCACCUAGCCUCAGACGGGUACGGGCCCUGGGAGGGGUAGCCCGGAGAUGGACUCUGAGACAUCAGUCCAGGCCCUACGGGGCGCAGCAGGCGCGAACACUGUGCAAUGCGCGAAAGCGCGACACGGGGAGCUUGAGUGUCUUGGCAUAGCCAAGACUUUUCUCAUUCCUAAAAAGCAUGAGGAAUAAGUGCUGGGUAAGACGGGUGCCAGCCGCCGCGGUAACACCCGCAGCACAAGUGGUGGUCACUUUUAUUGAGCCUAAAGCGUUCGUAGCCGGUUUUGUAAAUCUUUAGAUAAAGCCUGAAGCUUAACUCCAGAAAGUCUGAAGAGACUGCAAGACUUGAGAUCGGGUGAGGUUAAACGUACUUUCAGGGUAGGGGUAAAAUCCUGUAAUCCCGGAAGGACGACCAGUGGCGAAAGCGUUUAACUAGAACGAAUCUGACGGUAAGGAACGAAGGCUAGGGUAGCAAACCGGAUUAGAUACCCGGGUAGUCCUAGCUGUAAACACUGCCCAUUUGAUGUUGCUUUUCCGUUGAGGGAAGGCAGUGUCGGAGCGAAGGUGUUAAAUGGGCCGCUUGGGAAGUAUGGUCGCAAGACUGAAACUUAAAGGAAUUGGCGGGGGAGCACCGCAACGGGAGGAAUGUGCGGUUUAAUUGGAUUCAACGCCGGG